RNAcentral lists this ribosomal RNA (658 nucleotides) under uncultured bacterium. RNAcentral describes it as "bacterial SSU rRNA". It matches the Rfam family "Bacterial small subunit ribosomal RNA", at positions 124 to 775 of the family's 1533-position model. The record is from RNAcentral.
AUCUGCCUAACAAUGGGGGAUAGCCCGGUGAAAACCGGAUUAAUACCGCAUACGUCCUAAGGGAGAAAGGGUGCCUCUUCUUGAAAGCAUUCGUUGUUAGAUGAACCUGCGUCGGUUUAGCUAGUUGGUAGGGUAAAGGCCUACCAAGGCGACGAUCCGUAGCUGGUCUGAGAGGAUGACCAGCCACACUGGAACUGAGACACGGUCCAGACUCCUACGGGAGGCAGCAGUGGGGAAUAUUGCGCAGUGGACGAAAGUCUGACGCAGCAAUACCGCGUGUGUGAAGAAGGCCUGAGGGUUGUAAAGCACUCUCAGUGGGGAGGAAAGGAUGUAAGUUAAUAGCUUGCAUCUGUGACGUUACCCACAGAAGAAGCACCGGCUAACUCCGUGCCAGCAGCCGCGGUAAUACGGAGGGUGCAAGCGUUAAUCGGAAUUACUGGGCGUAAAGCGCGCGUAGGUGGAUAAUUAAGUCAGAUGUGAAAGCCCAGGGCUCAACCUUGGAACUGCAUAUGAUACUGGUUAUCUUGAGUACAGUAGAGGGAGGUGGAAUUUCAGGUGUAGCGGUGAAAUGCGUAGAUAUCUGAAGGAACAUCAGUGGCGAAGGCGACCUCCUGGACUGAUACUGACACUGAGGUGCGAAAGCGUGGGGAGCAAACAG